This 64-nucleotide transfer RNA is filed under the name Cavia porcellus (domestic guinea pig). It matches the Rfam family "tRNA". From Rfam's summary of the family: Transfer RNA (tRNA) molecules are approximately 80 nucleotides in length. Their secondary structure includes four short double-helical elements and three loops (D, anti-codon, and T loops). Lineage: Eukaryota; Metazoa; Chordata; Mammalia; Rodentia; Caviidae. The record is from Rfam by way of RNAcentral.
AGGGAUUUAGCUCAGUGGUGUAAGUGCCUGCUUGGUAAACAGGAGAUGGUGAGUUCAAUUCCUG